AACUUUCAACAACGGAUCUCUUGGUUCUCGCAUCGAUGAAGAACGCAGCGAAACGCGAUAGUUAAUGUGAAUUGCAGAAUUCAGUGAAUCAUCGAGUCUUUGAACGCACAUUGCACCUUUUGGCAUUCCGAAAGGUAUGUCUGUUUGAGCGUCAUU
Molecule: ribosomal RNA, 156 nt
Filed under: Orbilia vinosa
Lineage: Eukaryota; Fungi; Ascomycota; Orbiliomycetes; Orbiliales; Orbiliaceae
Description: 5.8S ribosomal RNA
Rfam family: 5.8S ribosomal RNA
About the family: 5.8S ribosomal RNA (5.8S rRNA) is a component of the large subunit of the eukaryotic ribosome. It is transcribed by RNA polymerase I as part of the 45S precursor that also contains 18S and 28S rRNA.
Source: RNAcentral